CCUACGGGUGGCUGCAGUGGGGAAUUUUGGACAAUGGGGGCAACCCUGAUCCAGCCAUUCCGCGUGAGUGAAGAAGGCCUUCGGGUUGUAAAGCUCUUUUGUCCGGAGCGAAACGGGCGGCCCUAAUACGGUCGUCUACUGACGGUACCGGAAGAAUAAGCACCGGCUAACUACGUGCCAGCAGCCGCGGUAAUACGUAGGGUGCGAGCGUUACGCGGAAUGUGCGGAGGUAAAGCGUGCGCAGGGGUGUGAAAUCCCCGGGCUCAACCUGGGAAUGGCAUUUGGGACUGCAAGGCUGGAGUGUGGCAGAGGGGACUAGAAUUCCUGGUGUAGCAGUGAAAUGCGUAGAUAUCAGGAGGAAUACCGAUGGCGAAGGCAGGUCCCUGGGUUAACACUGACGCUCAUGCACGAAAGCGUGGGGAGCAAACAGGAUUAGAUACCCUUGUAGUC
RNAcentral lists this ribosomal RNA (450 nucleotides) under uncultured bacterium. RNAcentral's name for it is "partial 16S ribosomal RNA". It matches the Rfam family "Bacterial small subunit ribosomal RNA", at positions 338 to 795 of the family's 1533-position model. The record is from RNAcentral.